UAAGGAAUAUUGGUCAAUGGACGCAAGUCUGAACCAGCCAUGCCGCGUGGAGGAUGAAGGUCCUCUGGAUUGUAAACUUCUUUUAUCUGGGACGAAACACUUCUUUUCUAAGAGGCCUGACGGUACCAGAUGAAUAAGCAUCGGCUAACUUCGUGCCAGCAGCCGCGGUAAGACGAAGGAUGCAAGCGUUAUCCGGAUUCAUUGGGUUUAAAGGGUGCGUAGGCGGGCUUGUAAGUCAGUGGUGAAAUCUCUCAGCUUAACUGAGAAACUGCCAUUGAUACUGCAGGCCUAGAGUAUAGAUGACGUUGGCGGAAUAUGACAUGUAGUGGUGAAAUACUUAGAUAUGUCAUAGAACACCGAUUGCGAAGGCAGCUAACGAAACUAUAACUGACGCUGAGGCACGAAAGUGCGGGGAUCAAACA
Molecule: ribosomal RNA, 422 nt
Filed under: uncultured bacterium
Lineage: Bacteria
Description: bacterial SSU rRNA
Rfam family: Bacterial small subunit ribosomal RNA
Source: RNAcentral